GUGGGGAAUUUUGGACAAUGGGCGCAAGCCUGAUCCAGCAAUGCCGCGUGCAGGAAGAAGGCCUUCGGGUUGUAAACUGCUUUUGUACGGAACGAAACGGUCCUGGCUAAUACCCGGGGCUAAUGACGGUACCGUAAGAAUAAGCACCGGCUAACUACGUGCCAGCAGCCGCGGUAAUACGUAGGGUGCGAGCGUUAAUCGGAAUUACUGGGCGUAAAGCGUGCGCAGGCGGUGCUGUAAGACAGGCGUGAAAUCCCCGGGCUAAACCUGGGAAUUGCGCUUGUGACUGCAGUGCUGGAGUGCGGCAGAGGGGGAUGGAAUUCCGCGUGUAGCAGUGAAAUGCGUAGAUAUGCGGAGGAACACCGAUGGCGAAGGCAAUCCCCUGGGCCUGCACUGACGCUCAUGCACGAAAGCGUGGGGAGCAAACAGGAUUAGAAACCCCAGUAGUCC
RNAcentral lists this ribosomal RNA (450 nucleotides) under uncultured bacterium. RNAcentral describes it as "partial 16S ribosomal RNA". It matches the Rfam family "Bacterial small subunit ribosomal RNA", at positions 354 to 796 of the family's 1533-position model. The record is from RNAcentral.